GAGACUAUACUUUCAAGGGUCUUUUCUAUAGUUGGUUACUCGAGAAGUUUCUCUGAGAGUGUCGAGCACCAGAAACCACGAGGAGGAAGUGCAGUGUUCUCUCCUGAGCGUAAAGCCGGCUCUUGGUGUUGCUUUGCAACUGCCAUUUGCCACUGGUGAUGGUUCUUGUCUUCCUCUGGGAGAGCAAGAGAGAGAGGACACAGUCUGAGUGGU
This 213-nucleotide small nucleolar RNA is filed under the name Carlito syrichta (Philippine tarsier). Its description in RNAcentral is "Small nucleolar RNA U3 (ENSTSYG00000023387.2)". It matches the Rfam family "Small nucleolar RNA U3". From Rfam's summary of the family: Small nucleolar RNAs (snoRNAs) are involved in the processing and modification of rRNA in the nucleolus. There are two main classes of snoRNAs: the box C/D class, and the box H/ACA class. Lineage: Eukaryota; Metazoa; Chordata; Mammalia; Primates; Tarsiidae. The record is from Rfam by way of RNAcentral.